CCGCAAGGCCUUGCGCGAUAGGAUGAGCCGACGCCCGAUUAGCUUGUUGGUAGGGUAAUGGCCUACCAAGGCGACGAUCGGUAGCUGGUCUGAGAAGAUGAUCAGCCACACUGGGACUGAGACACGGCCCAGACUCCUACGGGAGGCAGCAGUGGGGAAUAUUGGACAAUGGGCGAAAGCCUGAUCCAGCAAUGCCGCGUGUGUGAAGAAGGCCUGCGGGUUGUAAAGCACUUUCAAUAGUGAAGAAGGAUUUGUGUCGAAUAGACAUGGAGACAGACAUUAACUGUAGAAGAAGCACCGGCUAACUCCGUG
RNAcentral lists this ribosomal RNA (312 nucleotides) under uncultured bacterium. RNAcentral's name for it is "bacterial SSU rRNA". It matches the Rfam family "Bacterial small subunit ribosomal RNA", at positions 199 to 507 of the family's 1533-position model. The record is from RNAcentral.